Molecule: transfer RNA, 69 nt
Filed under: Hyaloperonospora arabidopsidis Emoy2
Lineage: Eukaryota; Oomycota; Peronosporomycetes; Peronosporales; Peronosporaceae
Description: Hyaloperonospora arabidopsidis tRNA-Val for anticodon CAC
Rfam family: tRNA
About the family: Transfer RNA (tRNA) molecules are approximately 80 nucleotides in length.
Source: Rfam by way of RNAcentral
UGUCGUGUCGUCUAGUGGUUAGACGUGAGCUUCACACGCUCAGAUCGAGGGUUCGAUCCCUCUCGAUAU